GGUCCUACGGGACGCCGCAGUAGGGCUUCUUCCGUUUUUGGCGAAAGCCUGAUGGAGCAACGCCGCGUGGGUGAAGAAGGUCUUCGGAUCGUAAAACCCUGUUGUUAGAGAAGAGAGUGCGUGAGAGUAACUGUUCACGUUUCGACGGUAUCUAACCAGAAAGCCACGGCUAACUACGUGCCAGCAGCCGCGGUAAUACGUAGGUGGCAAGCGUUAUCCGGAUUUAUUGGGCGUAAAGGGAACGCAGGCGGUCUUUUAAGUCUGAUGUGAAAGCCUUCGGCUUAACCGGAGUAGUGCAUUGGAAA
Molecule: ribosomal RNA, 305 nt
Filed under: uncultured bacterium
Lineage: Bacteria
Description: bacterial SSU rRNA
Rfam family: Bacterial small subunit ribosomal RNA
Source: RNAcentral